UGGAGUUCAGUCAACGUUUGAGCCUACGCACCCACUGCCAGGACAAAACAAACACCUGCCAGGUCUCCCUUGAGAGUCUCUGUGGUGCUAACCGGGCUGUCUUUUGGCAAAAGUGAACACCAUGCUGCUGGGUGCAGUGGCUCCAGCCCCUUGAGGGAAGGGGUCUGGGUGGGCUGAGGCCAGAACCCCCGCACCAGACGAG
Xiphias gladius (swordfish) is the source of this 202-nucleotide long non-coding RNA. RefSeq lists it as uncharacterized. The record is from RefSeq and is a predicted model, not a curated record. The transcript has 3 exons. NCBI's taxonomy places the organism in Eukaryota, Metazoa, Chordata, Actinopteri, Istiophoriformes, Xiphiidae.